GAGUUUGAUCAUGGCUCAGGACGAACGCUGGCGGCGUGCUUAACACAUGCAAGUCGAACGGUGAUCUCAGCUUGCUGGGUGAUCAGUGGCGAACGGGUGAGUAACACGUGAGUAAUCUGCCCACAGCUCUGGGAUAACCAUGGGAAACUGUGGCUAAUACCGGAUAUGACGCGUACAGGCAUCUGUUGCGUGUGGAAAGUUUUUCGGCUGUGGAUGGGCUCGCGGCCUAUCAGCUUGUUGGUGGGGUAAUGGCCUACCAAGGCGACGACGGGUAGCCGGCCUGAGAGGGUGACCGGCCACACUGGGACUGAGACACGGCCCAGACUCCUACGGGAGGCAGCAGUGGGGAAUAUUGCGCAAUGGGCGAAAGCCUGACGCAGCGACGCCGCGUGAGGGAUGAAGGCC
Molecule: ribosomal RNA, 405 nt
Filed under: uncultured bacterium
Lineage: Bacteria
Description: bacterial SSU rRNA
Rfam family: Bacterial small subunit ribosomal RNA
Source: RNAcentral